This 7777-nucleotide small RNA is filed under the name Pongo abelii (Sumatran orangutan). RNAcentral's name for it is "retained intron". Lineage: Eukaryota; Metazoa; Chordata; Mammalia; Primates; Hominidae. The record is from RNAcentral.
CAGCACACUCCCCUCCUGAAAAUGGGCUGGACAAGGCCCGUAGCCUGAAAAAAGAUGCCCCCACCAGCCCCGCCUCGGUGGCCUCUUCCAGUAGCACACCUUCCUCCAAGACCAAAGACCUUGGUCAUGUAUGUGGGGUCUGGGUGGAAGGGAGUGGGAAGGGAGCGGCAGGGACCGGAGCUGGGGUGGUGCCGAUUGGCAGGCAGAGGGGUGGAGUGGAAGAAGCUGGAUGGGUGAUUGGCCCCGGUUUACCUCCUGUGCCUGCUGGGCCUGUGCUAAUGAGUUAACAUUUCUGAGCCUCGGUUGCUAUGUCUGUAAAAUGGGAGUGAUCACCCCAGUCCCUGCCAAACAAGGUUGGGCAAGGAUUGAGAGGCUGUUCAGCAGAAGCUUCAAAAGGGGCUAGCUCUGCGCUUCACAUUGGGACCGGCACCAGUUGUGCCCGGCUCCUAGGAGAAUGGAAGUCUCAUGGCCUCCCUUGUUCUGCAUCUCCUCUCUUCAGAAUGACAAAUCCUCCACCCCUGGGCUCAAGUCCAACACACCAACCCCGAGGAACGACGCCCCAACUCCAGGCACCAGCACGACCCCAGGGCUCAGGUCGAUGCCGGGUAAACCUCCGGGCAUGGACCCGAUAGGUAUAAUGGGUAGGCACCAUGGGCUGGGUUAAUCUGAUUGGGGGGAGGGGGUCUGCCCCUGGCCAGGGCAGGGGUGACACACACACAUGGGAUAGAGCACAGGCAGUGUCUCCCAGGGCCUGCCCUUGGGGACUUCGCGGUCAGAUUUGAGGAGGUGAUGCCAGGGUUUCUGGGGCCCCUGCUGGGCCAGACAUGAAAGCAGCAUCAGACAGGUCAGGGCUCCCAAGAUCUGUUCCCACCCCUGUCGUUAGUCCAAUAAGGCUCUAAGCAAGCCCGUUUGGGCCUCCAUGUCCUGCUCUGUAAAAAGAGGUGGGUGCAUCUGCCAAGCUCUAAGCUUCUUUGGCUCUGAAGGCAGGGAUCCCAGUGGGUGGGUUCAGUCUGAGAGGGCUGCCUGGAGCAGGCAGCUUAAGAAUGCAGGGAGGGUUAUUGCUGGGUGAGGUGGCCAUGGCCAUGUCCCAAUCCCCCGAAGGCCCACCUCCCUGACACCCAUCCCUUGCAGCCUCGGCUCUGCGCACGCCCAUCUCCAUCACCAGCUCCUAUGCGGCGCCCUUCGCCAUGAUGAGCCACCACGAGAUGAACGGCUCCCUCACCAGUCCUGGCGCCUACGCCGGCCUCCACAACAUCCCACCCCAGAUGAGCGCCGCCGCCGCUGCUGCAGCCGCUGCCUACGGCCGAUCGCCAAUGGUUGGUUUUGACCCUCACCCCCCAAUGCGGGCCACAGGCCUCCCCUCAAGCCUGGCCUCCAUUCCUGGAGGAAAACCGUAAGCUUUGGCUAUACUUACUGCAUGCUUUGUAGGGUUGGCAGGAGAGAGCACUCUACCCCCUCUUCCAAGAAUGCCCCUCAUCACCUGACCAAGGGUUUGCCCUGGUGCAUGUCCCUUUGGAAAGGUAUCUGUCCGUCUAGAGGCACUGAGGGCUGGUUGCAACCCUAGGAAACUGUAGCCAAGCCACACUUCUGAGCACCCACAGAAGCUCCCUCCAACAGAGGAGCCAUGGGGUCAGCUAAGUACAUGGCCACCGAGCUGGGAGAGAAGGAACACUCCUCACCGAGUCACCUGGAGCUGUGGUGGGCCUUGCCGACUCCUCUGGGUUCGACCUGCUGGGAAGGCCCCAGUGCCGUUGGUCACAGGCCCUUCUCUGUCAGCAGUGCUUCCCUCCCCUGGAGGGCACACUCGCCCCAGCCCUUCACUUCCUUGGGUUGCUAGGAAACUAAAAGAUUGAGCCUACAGAUAAUGCCGAGACACUGCCUGACACAAUCCUCUAAUUGUCCACGAGAAUCUAGAUGCUGAUUGGGAGGGCACCCACCAGAGCCUGAAACAGCAGGCAGGCCAGGCUGGCUCCCCACCGGCUCUGACACGCACUUUCCCAUUUGCUAUUGGAGGGGCAAGCAGAUCCCUUCCCUAAUACUACCGGCUCCUAAAGCAAGAGGUGGCAUUUCAGCCAGGCCCUUUCCAGGGUUGGCAUGUUGGGGGAAUGUAUGGAUCGUGGGAAAGGGCAUUCCAGGACACCUGUGGGUUUCUGGUCUGAUUUGUAGCAAGAAUAUAUAACCGGGUGUAAAAAUCAAAGCUGGUCUGUUAAUCACUCUCCACCCUGAUGGAGCCAUCCCAGUACAUGGGGUUACUGGGUUCGAAAGGUUUCAGAGCAGAGGGGCCUGGAGGCAGGGCAGCCAGUUGGGGGUGGUGCAGGUGACCUGGCCCAGGCCUGUGGGAACUCUGAGGGGCCGAGGUGGAUGGCAGCAGUGACAGUUCUCACCUUUUCAGAGCGUACUCAUUCCAUGUGAGCGCUGAUGGGCAGAUGCAGCCCGUGCCCUUCCCCCACGACGCCCUGGCAGGCCCCGGCAUCCCGAGGCACGCCCGGCAGAUCAACACACUCAGCCACGGGGAGGUGGUGUGUGCCGUGACCAUCAGCAACCCCACGAGGCACGUCUACACAGGUGGCAAGGGCUGCGUGAAGAUCUGGGACAUCAGCCAGCCAGGCAGCAAGAGCCCCAUCUCCCAGCUGGACUGCCUGGUGAGAAUCCCAGGGCCACCGCACCUCCUCCAGCUGGUGUAGGAGGAUGGGGCAGCCUGGGCCACAGGGGAGAGCCCCAGGGCCCGGCUCAGCAUCGUAUUGGCUGAGCAACUUUAGGCAAGCUGACUAACCUCUCUGAGCCUCAGUUGUGCUUUCUGUGUGUGGGGCUGAUACCUCCUGGUAUUCAUGAAAGAUCAAAGGGUUGUGAAUUUGAGGAAUGGGGACAGCCUGGCAGCUGCUGGGUAUAGGGGAGGCUGUAAGCAGGACUGGUGAGGGUGGUCGGUGUUGCUGGACAGGACUCUCCUGGUGCCCAGGAGGGGAAGUAGGCAGCACUCGGCCCUGCCCCUUCUCCCUCCAGAACAGGGACAAUUACAUCCGCUCCUGCAAGCUGCUCCCUGACGGGCGCACGCUCAUCGUGGGCGGCGAGGCCAGCACGCUCACCAUCUGGGACCUGGCCUCGCCCACGCCCCGCAUCAAGGCCGAGCUGACGUCCUCGGCUCCUGCCUGUUACGCCCUGGCCAUCAGCCCUGACGCCAAAGUCUGCUUCUCCUGCUGCAGCGAUGGGAACAUUGCUGUCUGGGACCUGCACAACCAGACCCUGGUCAGGUGAGCCGGCAGGAGAGGGAGCAUUAGUGCCUCGUCCUGGGGAAGUUUUUACCCAUCCUGCCUGGUCUUGUUUGCUGUGACCUUGGCCCUGUCUGAGGCACUGUGGGGUGGCCAGAACUGUUGGGAUGAGGGAUGCAGAGGUGAAAAGACAGCUCCGCCUGCCUUAUUCGAGGGACAGAGGAGGGAGGGCCAUUGGGCCCAGGAGCUUGGAGAAGGCUCUGGGAAGAAAGUGGAGCUGGAGCAUGUCUGGGAAAGUGGAGGUCAGAUUAGUGGAGCGAGCAAAGAGGCUGGGAGCAGAGGCCCAGAGACCAGAUGAGGGAGACCCGACUGGGAAGCCACAUCACGUAGUGGCUAAACAAGCCUCAGGACAAAACUGCUGGGUUUGAAUCCUGCCUCCACUAUGACCUAGUGCAAGUCGCUGAACCCCUGCGGCUCAGUUUCUUCCUGUGUAAAACAGUGACAGCGGAGCAUCUUCCUCUGACUGUGCCGCAGUGCAAAGGCAGACGGGUGCCUGGCCCAGCUGACUCUUGUAUACAUGGGCUGUGUGUGUUAUUCAGCGUGUUCAUGGAUGGCCUCAGCCCCAUAGUUCAUGCAGGGUGAAGAGAUAGAUUAAGAGGGCAAAUUGAGGGCGCGUGGAGUGUGAGCUAAGGAGCUGUGUCCUAAAGGCAGUGGGGCCCUGCAUUCUCUUUAUCAGUCAUCUCACGUGUAGCUUCCCCAGGGCCUUCCUGCCUUCCUCACCUUCCUGAGCCUCCAGCUCCACCUCCUCCAGAGGCCCACCCUGGAGGGAUUCAGUCUCAGAAGGCUGGUGGGAGGUCCCCUUUUCACCCCCCUGCCACCCCUCCAUUUCCCAGGGGACUUGUCCCUGGUUGGAAAGAGGCUGGGGCUAGCUUUGCUGCAAGCUCACUAAGGGACCAUGCGCAUAGUGCACUCUUCUGGGCCUUAGUUUCCUCUUCUGCUCAGACUGCCCCUGGGAUGGCUGCCACCUAGCAGUCUGUGGUUCCUGGGACUCACCCUUCUCCCUGCUUGGCUUUCGUAGGCAGUUCCAGGGCCACACGGAUGGGGCCAGCUGCAUAGACAUCUCCCAUGAUGGCACCAAACUGUGGACAGGGGGCCUGGACAACACGGUGCGCUCCUGGGACCUGCGGGAGGGCCGGCAGCUACAGCAGCAUGACUUCACUUCCCAGGUGUGCGGCCCGAGACUCCUCCCUUCCCAAAGAGCAGUGUAUUCCCUCCCUCCGGGGCCCCAGUGGCUGGGUCAGGGACAAAGGGACCCUCACAGAGUGGCCACUGCCAAGAGACUUGGGACCAACCUGAGCCAUCUGGGAAGGCUUCCUGGAGGAAGCAGCAGUGAAACAGAUGGAGAUGACCUUGGGGUUGGACACAUUUGGCCCAACUGUGGAAAUUCGAUUCAUUCUCUGCUGCUAUUGAGCACUUUGUCCUUGGCGUCCUCAUUCACAAGAUGGAAAUAAUAGUAGCACCCUCCUACAUCUGAUGUGGGCACCUGAAUUGAUCCCUCUAAAAGCCAUAGCCAUAAACCCAACUCACAGAAAGCAUUCAGUAAAUGCCAGGGAUUAUUAUUUCUUAUUUGCAUUCCUCACUUUAAUAUUUUAAUCUUAAAUAUUUAAUAUUUUAGUGGGUUUUUUUUUAACUCACUUUUUUCUUAAGGAAAGACAAAAGUCUCAGAGACAGAGUAACUGAAUGCAAAAUGUCUGUGCUUUCUCAUCUAUAAAAUGGGGAUGGAAAAUGACCUCCCAUACUCCUGGGUUAUUGGGUAGGUGGGGAGGGACCCUGAGCCUCAGAGGACCUGAGCAGCACCUUUGGGAGCCGCCGUCCUCUUGAGGGCAGAGAAUGCUGAGCUCAGUCCAUCUCCCCUCCCACCACCUGCAGAUCUUCUCGCUGGGCUAUUGCCCCACUGGGGAGUGGCUGGCCGUGGGCAUGGAGAGCAGCAACGUGGAGGUGCUGCACCACACCAAGCCUGACAAGUACCAGCUGCACCUGCACGAGAGCUGCGUGCUCUCCCUCAAGUUCGCCUACUGUGGCAAGUGGUUCGUGAGCACUGGGAAAGAUAACCUUCUCAACGCCUGGAGGACACCUUACGGAGCCAGCAUAUUCCAGGUACUGCCCACCAUCUGAGUCCUCCUCUGGGUUCCACCCAGAGUUGAAACUUGGCGGUGGUGAUGGGAGUGAGGAUAGCAGGAGGAAGAACAGGAGGAGCCUGGAGCCAGGAUCAGACCUGCCCUGGUCCCCUCCCCACCCCUACCUGAUGGGGGAGCAAGAUGGGUUCUCCCAAGGACCUGGGAACUUCAGCAGGACACACAAUCUGCUACUGAUGGCUUCUGACCCCCGAGGGCAAGGGCUUGUAAGCCGAGGCGCUUGUCGAGGAAUAGCGUAAAUGUUUUUGCUCUGGGCUGGAUGCUGAGCACCUGCAGGAGGUGCGCUGGGCAGCUGGGCACCUGGCAGCCUUGCCCAGAGCAGUGUUCCCUCCUUAAGUGAGUGAGUGUUUCCACCUGCAUUCAGCACCAGCAGGGACAUGGACAGGAAAGAGAGGAGGAAAGGAAGAGGCUUUUUAUAAUCUACCAGGAUCUGGGGCCUGCCAUACUGCACUGAUUGGCACACACAUGUGUGCACACACACACAUGCACUCUUUCCCACACACGAUCAAACUCACACUCAUUUACUCACUCACACUCAGUCUCCCACACACACUUUCUUCCCCUCUCUCUCUCUCUGGCGCGUCCACACACACACACUUGCGUUCUCUCUCACUCCCUCAGCCAACGUGCCGCUUUCUGGACCCAGGCUGAAAUGUCUGGUGUCCCGCGUGUCAAACCUCAUUGUUAGGGUCUCUAGUUACAGCACAUGCUUCAAACAUCAGGUGGCAAUCCUUUUCCUAACUCACCAGGCUGUGGGCCUGAGCUGCUGACACCAGCUCCUAGCUUGGAAAUGCCUCUUCCUAUUUGUAAACUCGGAGGAGAAGCUCAUGCUAAAGCGUCCUGUUCUGAUCAUUAUGACUUACUUUUGUAAAGAUCACGUGGGAGACUGUUACUGAGCUUUUCCUUAUGGAAAAGCAGGCGGGAGGGGAGCUGUACCUGAAAAUGCUUCAUGGGUGCUUUAAAGCCUCCCCACCUCCUCUUCACCGCACUGUGCUCCAGGUCGGAGCAUCAGAGAGGGACAGAGGAGGGCAAUUGUUGCCGAGAGAAUCGAGAUGGUGUUGGGCACUGGGAAAUGAAUUCCUGUCUUUUUUCUCCCCGCACCCCACGCCUUCCUGCUGCUUCUCCUCGUCUUCCUCCUCCAGUCUAAAGAAUCCUCGUCUGUCUUGAGUUGUGACAUUUCAGCGGAUGACAAAUACAUUGUAACAGGCUCUGGUGACAAGAAGGCCACAGUUUAUGAGGUCAUCUACUAAACAAGAACUCCAGCAGAGCUGUCAAACUCUGGGAGAAACCGACUCGGCUCUGACAGGGAGACCCCCAGGCGAGGGGCCCUGAGGAUGGCGGAGGAUGGGCCGCAAGCAGCCGAGCAUUCGGGGCUGCGCUCCGGCCGGCUGAAAGGGCGCGUGCCCUGUCACGGUCUGGACUCCUGGGCCUGGAUUGAUGUGUCUCACAGACUCGGAAGGGUUCUGCUCCUCCUCCUCCCCCUGAACAAUGCUGGCAGUUGCUACAAAUAGAUUUAUUGGAGACUUAUGGCUCCGGUUCCCCCACAGACCCGCUCAUGAGUCUCUGUUUGUUCUUCCCCUUUCUUUUGCCCUGUCCCCCACCUUGGGUUGGGGGUGCUGGAGUGGACCACAUUGUUGUGCUGGGGGAGGGGGGGUCUCUCUUUGCCGACUGUGCAGUGCACAAGAUUUGUGAAAAAUGUAAAUAACAGACUCCUAUUGCAGACUGAUCAGUGGGAGAGGAGGCCCCUUCCCACCGGAAACUCUGACCAUGUAUUUCGCCUGCUGUAUUUGUAAUCCACUCGUGGUGGUGGCUUUUUUUUUUUUUUUUUUUCUUUUUUAAAUAAACAGAUGUUCUCACCUGGGAAGAGGAGACAGGGAGGGGAACCAAUUGAAGAAAGAGGAGAAAAGUCUUAGAGUGUGGAAAAGGCAACCAGGUUUGCCAUAAGGUGCCUGCUGGAAUGUGUGUGCCUCCACAGGGGUCUGGGCAUCCGGACUGAGCACCAGCCGGCCAGACUGAGGGAUGGAAGGCACUGAGAUGGGGGCCCAUCCGGGCGGACACCCGCAGAAACGGAGUUUUCUGUGGUCUCUUGCACUCUGGCUGCCUCUUGCCCUCUCUGUGUCUCUCUUUCUUGGUCUUUCCCUCUCUCCUCCUCAGCCUGGUCUUUCUCUUUGGUGCACACUUAGUUAUUGUUAUGAGCAAUGGAAGUUCAAAGGAACUCCCUCUCCAGCUCUUCUGAAUCUUGGGACACAGCCUAAAAAGGACAAAAAGUUAGAAGACAGCAUAGCAACUCAGCUCAGGGAGCUACCAGAGAAAAAUAGCAACUGAUGUGGGUGCUUUUUUUUUUUUUUUUAAUUUGAAUAAAAAGAAUUAGAAGUG